CAUCAGCAACUAAUACGUCAGUGUAUUACGAACAUUGUUCUCACACUGAAUGCAGAAUAGUCUUGUACCAGCUAUUAGGAAGAAAAUUCACUCUACACCAGCCAAAACCUGGACAGGUAUUUACAUCUGUCUUUGCUAAACACCCACUCUCUGCUCUGUUGAUUCGUUCCCUGGGCUUGUGCCCCUGUUCAAAACUUUAAGUGAAUGGCUACUUUGCUGAAUUCCUUCAUCCACAGAUUGCCCUAUAUUGCCGUAUUCUUAAUGGCUUUAUUACAGCUUUUUAUAAUAAGGAAUAUUCUUGUUAAUUUUUAAAAAAUUUUUUUUGGAUUAAGCUACAAUGUGAGAUAUCCUUGAUACCUGUCCAAAGCAUUUCUAGUGUAAAGAUAACUGACCUGUAAAGGUUUUAACUGUGUCAGUUUGCCCCUGUUACUUGCUUUUGAGAUAUAAGCUUUUGCCAUUGUGUUACAAUGUGUUACAUUAAUUACUCUGCUUGUGGAGAAAAAAAAUUUGUCAGGGUAGAGCUCUGCAAGAGAUCUUGAUACAAAGAGAAGUUCAUAGUGAGGGUUCUGCUUCCUCUUUUCUGUGUGUGCAAAGAGGAGAUGCAGUUGAUGGAUUUUUAGAACACCUGUGUAACAACAGAAGCAGACUUGAAAUUAGAAAUGCAGAAUUAUUUAAAUAAUCUUGCCAUGGGGAAUAUUCUGUGCUGCAGAUAGGUUUGUUUCCUCCUAAACUGUACAGUUAUGUAAAUAUUACAGAAGUAAAUGUCUGAAUUGUUAGAAAUUUCCUUUCAUUGUGCUCUUAAUGCCUGGAUUGUAUGGAAAUUUCAUUCAUUCUUAGAAUUGUAUAGCCUGCUUUAAAAAUCCUGUUCUUUCUGCUUCCUGAGGUAGUAAUUAUUAAGAAAUUAGCAUCUCACGUGAGAUUCCCCAUCUUGAAGAUUACAUGUGUUUGAAAUUCUAUUUUGAGGAUGUUAACUGACUAUGCAGAGGACUUUUGCUGGUUCUUCAACUUGAAGAUGAAUUCCAUGCAAUAAAGAUACCCUAGCACAACUUUCUGAAAGCACAACUUGACUACUCUAUUGGAUUCAAUUGAGGGCUGGACUCAUCAGUGAGACAUAUUGAACAGAAAACAAC
Myiozetetes cayanensis is the source of this 1130-nucleotide long non-coding RNA. RefSeq lists it as uncharacterized. The record is from RefSeq and is a predicted model, not a curated record. NCBI's taxonomy places the organism in Eukaryota, Metazoa, Chordata, Aves, Passeriformes, Tyrannidae. The transcript has 3 exons.